Molecule: ribosomal RNA, 253 nt
Filed under: uncultured bacterium
Lineage: Bacteria
Description: partial 16S ribosomal RNA
Rfam family: Bacterial small subunit ribosomal RNA
Source: RNAcentral
UACGUAGGGGCCGAGCGUUGUCCGGAGUUACUGGGCGUAAAGCGCGCGCAGGCGGCUACUUUAGCCCGGCGUGAAAGCCCCCGGCUCAACCGGGGAGGGUCGUCGGGGACUGGGUGGCUUGAGCCCGGCAGGGGCUGGUGGAAUCCCCGGUGUAGUGGUGAAAUGCGUAGAGAUCGGGGGGAACACCCGUGGCGAAGGCGGCCAGCUGGGCCGGUGCUGACGCUGAGGCGCGAAGGCGUGGGGAGCGAACGGG